Long non-coding RNA from Cydia fagiglandana, 616 nucleotides. RefSeq lists it as uncharacterized. The record is from RefSeq and is a predicted model, not a curated record. Lineage: Eukaryota; Metazoa; Arthropoda; Insecta; Lepidoptera; Tortricidae. The transcript is spliced from 3 exons.
AUCGCUCAAAAAUGCUCAAAACAAAAUUGAAACGCCAUCUUAAAAAGAAGCCAUAGCCUUUGUUUUGAUGAUUUCCUACGAUAAAAUACCACGGCGCUGGUUUUAACUGAUCUAACGAGUAAAGAAUGCCUCCAAGAAUGCACUUAUGAUUUCCAAAAUAUAACCCCUUGAAGAAUUACUACAAAAUGAACGGAGUGAAAAUUCUCUUUCGUCGCCGCAUAUCAUGACCUUCUCUCAGCUUGCGUCGUUUAUUUUACUAUGAACCUAGUGCCCAUAACUAUGACCUAGUGUUUGAACUAUCUAGUACAAAGGAUGUGUAAUGAAUCUAGCUGUCGAUACUGCGAAUGAAAUGGGCCCAAAUGUGGAACUAUUCAGGCAAGCAACCUGACUACUCUAUUAGAAUGAACCCCGGUAUGUGUAAUCGUUACUGAAGAAAAAUAAAUUGAAAUUACACUAUGAGGACUCCCUUGCUAUUUUUGGUGAUUACAAACAACUGUGAAGCCAACUGAAAACAAUUUUGAUGGCUUGCCCGAUACCUAGUCGUCAGUGAGCGGAGCAAAUUCCAUGCCCUCAUGGGUUCUUCCGAGUCUUUCUACAGUCCCCUAGUAAGUAUAAC